GGGAUUCCCCUAGUAACGGCGAGUGAAGCGGGAACAGCUCAAAUUUGAAAUCUGGCCCUCGGGUCCGAAUUGUAAUUUGCAGAGGAUGCUUUUGGUUAGGUACUUUCCGAGUUCCCUGGAACGGGACGCCUUAGAGGGUGAGAGCCCCGUACGGUUGGAUACCGAGCCUUUGUAAAGCUCCUUCGACGAGUCGAGUAGUUUGGGAAUGCUGCUCUAAAUGGGAGGUAAACUUCUUCUAAAGCUAAAUACCGGCCAGAGACCGAUAGCGCACAAGUAGAGUGAUCGAAAGAUGAAAAGCACUUUGAAAAGAGGGUUAAAUAGCACGUGAAAUUGUUGAAAGGGAAGCGUUUAUGACCAGACUUUUUCCAGGCGGAUCAUCCGGUGUUCUCACCGGUGCACUUCGUCUGGUUGAGGCCACCAUCCGUUUUCGGAGAGGGAUAAAAGCUCGAGAAACGUGCGUACUGCGCUAACGCCAUCUCCGAUUGCACCGUUCCCGUUAAGCUC
Molecule: ribosomal RNA, 504 nt
Filed under: uncultured fungus
Lineage: Eukaryota; Fungi
Description: eukaryotic LSU rRNA
Rfam family: Eukaryotic large subunit ribosomal RNA
Source: RNAcentral